This 223-nucleotide ribosomal RNA is filed under the name uncultured bacterium. RNAcentral's name for it is "partial 16S ribosomal RNA". It matches the Rfam family "Bacterial small subunit ribosomal RNA", at positions 28 to 249 of the family's 1533-position model. The record is from RNAcentral.
GACGAACGCUGGCGGCGUGCUUAACACAUGCAAGUCGAGCGGUAAGGCCCUUUCGGGGGUACACGAGCGGCGAACGGGUGAGUAACAACGUGGGUGACCUGCCUUUAGCUCUGGGGAUAAGCCUGGGAAACCGGGUCUAAUACCGGAUAUGGACUCCGCGGCGCAUGUUGUGGGGUGAAAGCCUUGUGACGGCUGGAGAUGGGCCCGCGGCCUAUCAGGCUUG